Molecule: long non-coding RNA, 1567 nt
Organism: Phacochoerus africanus (Common warthog)
Lineage: Eukaryota; Metazoa; Chordata; Mammalia; Artiodactyla; Suidae
Exons: 2
Source: RefSeq, a predicted model, not a curated record
CGUCCUGUCUGAAAAAGUUGCCUAAGCCGGGGAGAGGGGAUGUCCCAGUGGGAAGGGCUGCCUCCAUUAGGGGUGCUGCCUCAGUUAGUGUAAAUGCCCCAGCGCCGCGGUGCUCCUCCAGGGGGCAUGUCCGGAGUGUGGGGGAGGGUGCUCUGAUACGGGAAGGUGUCCCUCUAGGAGGGUGUGCCCUGCCUGGGGGCAGUGUCCCGCGUGAGAAGUGUCCCAGUGGCGAGGCUAGUCCCCAUGGGGGCAUGCUUUGGUAGGGGAAGAUGCCUGGCUCUGGGGGUGCGCUCCAGUGAGGAAGUGUGCGCCACCUGGGCGGCCUCCCAAUCACCGCAGCCUACCUGCAAGCCCCCCAGUUAGGCACACGCAAGACCGUUCCUGCAAAUCAAGCAGCCUUCAUUGGACAGCACCACAUAAACUGGCUUGGGCGACCCACACCCCCACAGCCAAACCUGUCUCUCCCAUCCUGUAGGAGUGGAGGAAAGAAACAGAUUGAAAGCAGGGUUCUCUGGCCAGUCUUCACAGCAGAAACUGAGGAGGCCCUGAGUCAAAGGCUAAUCUGGGCCUCGCUCCUGUGAGGGCUCCAUCUCAUGGGAGGUGAGACUCCAGGAAAAUUCAACUAAGUCAAACAUUGACAGCACACACAGGUGCAGAAGAGGUGAUGGACGAUGACUGUGACAUUUGAGAGUACAUGGCUGCCUGCACAUUUCCAGCUGAGAAAAGUGGCCAGUGCGACACUGUGCAAAAGUGGUGGCAGAUUACCUCCACCCUAUGCCACCAGAACUUGGAGCUACAAGCCCGGUAAGAUGCGUGAUGGUGAAAACUGGAACAGACAUCCUGGACCCAGGAGUGGAAACCUCGACUUGAGAAUGACAGAUGUGCUACCAAGCCCAAAACUUCCACGUCUAGACUGUUAAAGGCACAAGAAAAAAGCUUCUACCAUGUUAUGGGGGGUUGGCAGGGGAGGUGCUCUACCUGUCCCCGCAGGGUCCCACGAGCUUACUACAAUAGACUAAGGUAAUUGACACCCCUAGCCAAGGUCACCCCUUCGCCACAUGGCAGACCUCAAAAGCCUCAAUACCACCGGCAGUUUCCCAAAGCACAUCCCAGGAUCCUGGCACACAGGGUGUUUACCGGCCCUCUGUAGCGUCUGCAAGAUACCCCUUUAGGAAACGGUGCUUUCUCAAACCUUGAUUUUUCGUUUGCCCCUGGGUUUUUAGAGUCCCAGACGGCAGUCCUUUGAAAUGUAGACCACGGGAGCGGGCUCGUGUUGUUCACCCUUGGCUGGGAGAGAAGCAGCAUCCCCGAGCUGGACAUGGCAGUGAUGUCGGCAGGGGCAUGAGACGUCAAGGCAAGGAUAAGGGACCUGGGGAAGCCCGCCCCCUCACCCCCGACAGGACUUCCUCUGGCGCACGAGGCCUAAACUUUAUUGCUUGGAGCGGUGGGUGCCGGGUCGCAACCCCUCCGGUGUGCGCUAAUAAAGUAAACGGAACAGGGCUGUCUGCUCCGCUUUCACAAGGCCACUUGGAGUUAACGCUGAGGCUCCAGUCAAGCACAUCUCGAC